Long non-coding RNA from Cyprinus carpio (common carp), 1063 nucleotides. NCBI's taxonomy places the organism in Eukaryota, Metazoa, Chordata, Actinopteri, Cypriniformes, Cyprinidae. The record is from Ensembl.
GCUGGAAUUGUAUGAUUGUGAAGACAUCGCGAACCUUAAAGGUUGAGAAGUGAACGGAUUAUACGGCGAACUGAGACGACGUGAAAAAGGGGAUUGGAAGCGGCAUUGAUGUGAGUACUAAGAGCCAGUCGAAAGUGCCCUGUAUAUUGACCUGGCGUUGUGUAGAUCUCUCCAGGAGGAGGAGGGCGGCCCUACCCCUAAUAUAGCGUGGUGGGAGAGCCGAAGGAAUACUUAUUGAAGUAGUCACAACGACGACAUCACUAGCUAGGCCGCAUAUUCCAUCGCCAGAUCCGAACCAAGCGAAGUGAAGGAAGACGGGUGUCCUUUUCGUACACUGAGUGUGGUGGGUGAGUCUUCGUGCUGUGAAAACCUAUAAUUUUGACGUGGUGUUGUAUAUUGCUGUGGGCUGCUGUGUAUUGCCGUGUGUCCUGUCAGAUAAACCCCCGCCUUCACGCACUUCGUCGCGGGAGGACAAGGAGACUGCUGGUCCUAGCCUAGUUCAGUACAGUAUAUGUUGUGAGCGUGCUUCAGAUCUCCGGAGAUAGCACGGUACGCUGUGUCCAGCCCAGAGGUGAAAGCCAUCCAAAGCAGAGUAACUGUGCUUUGUGUCCAAGUUGAUACCUGUGGAGAGGAAAGGAAAGAGAGAGUGAGUAACACAAGGAGAACCAGAGGGAACCUGUACUUACAGUACGCUGUGUUCAGCCCAGAGGUGAGAGCAAAACCAAGCCGAAUUAACUGUGCCUUUGUGUCCCAGCCGUUGCCUGUGGAGGAAGAGAAAGAGAGUGAGCACCCCGAGAACGAACUGUGUGAACCAGUACUUACCGUGAGCUGUAUUCAGCGAAGAGGAGGAAGAAGGAGGGCGCUACGGAUACCUAAGACUCAGGCCGGGGCCCGAGUCCCACGCCCCGGAUCCCCGUGGCCCCCUUGCUCCCUGACCUCUUCCCGGCCAUAGCCCAUCUGGAGGGCCGAGUCAGAGUUUAGUUUUAAUUGCCCUUUCCCUAUUCCCCAAGCUAUUUUUAAAUAUUUAAAUAAAGAUUGUUUUAUCACUUACUUGUUCUCGUGU